AUCUCUAAAAGUCCUCUGAUAUACCAAACAAUUUUAGUGAAUUCCCAGCCUAGAAGGAGGGUAGCAGGAGCCCCAUGCAAGGGUCACUUGUUCCCGGCCUUCACAGAUGCUUUGCUCCCUUUCCAUCAGUUUCUCCCAAUAGCUGUGGUUUCUAUCUUACAUUUUAGGCCUUUAGGCUUGAAGAUAAUAUUGCAGAAUAUCCGGUGCAACUGGAGGCUGGCCUUACAGAGGUUUCUUGGCACCAGCCACCAGAGUCCUUAUGUUGUCAUUGCUGGGUAUGCUGCCAAGCACAAAGAGCACCUUGAUGUAUCCACUUGCGUGGAUGCCCCAGGGCACUGGAGCCCUAUCGCGGAGCCCAUGGAUACCAGAGCAGAAGAGAAGAGGUUAACAAAGGGUUUCCCAGCAAGAGGCCAGCGGCAAAACCCAGGUUAAGGCCGCCUGCACCCCUCCCCCGGCCUUCCCCUGCGGCAGGAGCCCUGGCCAUGCCACUCAAGUGCUUCUGUCCCCACCAGCUCCUGUCCCACUUGUGUGAUGUAAAGCAAUCCUUUUGUUUCCAAUUUAAGACAUGAGCCUCGGGGGCCAUUAUAGGGAAGAAAGGUAGCUGGGGCCCUUUUAUCUGAAGGAAUCCAUUAGGAGUGGGGGGUGCUUUCCUUCCUCCCUGCCUAGGGAUCUGCCCUGCUCCUUGGCUGUCUCCUCCCUGCUCCAGGGCCACAUCCCUCUGCUCCAAGGCCACCUCCUGAGUGCUCCAGGGACAGCUCCUCACUGACACAUGGCCACCUCCUUGCUGCUCUUGGCCAUUACAACCCAAAAAGCGGGUAAAUGCAGCAUCGCCACCAGACAGAAGCAUACAGAAAUCCUGAGUCGGCUGCUCAGCCUCCCAGUGAAGUGAAAAAGAUAGCAUGUGGUUUUAGCACACCUCAGAGUAACACAGUGGCUUUCUCCUUGCUGACAACUGGGACUGCUGAGGGAUCUGUCAUGUCAGUGACUGAAGACUCACUCUUGCUUUGUUUAUUCUUGCCUUGAAAACAGCAGUUCCCAUCAUCCGCAUGACUCCAGGACGUGAAACUUUAAAUAAUGACCCCAAAUGUUAUGAGAUUUUUGAAAGCACCAGAAUAAAAAUAAAGAAAUAGACA
This 1133-nucleotide long non-coding RNA is filed under the name Coturnix japonica (Japanese quail). RNAcentral describes it as "lncRNA (ENSCJPG00005011526.1)". Lineage: Eukaryota; Metazoa; Chordata; Aves; Galliformes; Phasianidae. The record is from RNAcentral.